Transfer RNA from Camelus ferus (Wild Bactrian camel), 71 nucleotides. It matches the Rfam family "tRNA". Rfam says of the family: Transfer RNA (tRNA) molecules are approximately 80 nucleotides in length. Their secondary structure includes four short double-helical elements and three loops (D, anti-codon, and T loops). Further hydrogen bonds mediate the characteristic L-shaped molecular structure. tRNAs have two regions of fundamental functional importance: the anti-codon, which is responsible for specific mRNA codon recognition, and the 3' end, to which the tRNAs corresponding amino acid is attached (by aminoacyl-tRNA synthetases). tRNAs cope with the degeneracy of the genetic code in two manners: having more than one tRNA (with a specific anti-codon) for a particular amino acid; and 'wobble' base-pairing, i.e. permitting non-standard base-pairing at the 3rd anti-codon position. The record is from Rfam. Lineage: Eukaryota; Metazoa; Chordata; Mammalia; Artiodactyla; Camelidae.
GAGGUUAUAGCUCAGUGGUAGAGUGUCUGCUCAGCAUGCAGAAGGUCCUGGGUUCAACCCCCAGUCCCUCU